GGAUCAAUAUGUCGGUCGUGCUUCGGUACGUACUGGUAUCAUUGGUCUCUCCUUUCUGACGAACCAUGAUGUCAUUAAUUUGGUGUUAUGGGGAGUUAGGACUGUUACUUUGAAAAAAUUAGAGUGUUUAAAGCAGGCCUACGCCUGAAUACGUUAGCAUGGAAUAACGGAAUAGGACGUUUGAUUCUAUUUUGUUGGUUUCUAGGAUCGACGUA
This 215-nucleotide ribosomal RNA is filed under the name Campeiostachys nutans. RNAcentral describes it as "Elymus nutans partial small subunit ribosomal RNA". The stretch from base 37 to 215 matches the Rfam family "Eukaryotic small subunit ribosomal RNA", at positions 684 to 864 of the family's 1831-position model. The record is from RNAcentral. Lineage: Eukaryota; Viridiplantae; Streptophyta; Magnoliopsida; Poales; Poaceae.